AUCUUCUUAAUAUAAUCAAUAUCAAUGAUUUCCAAUCAUUAAAUCCAAGUUAAACACAUGGAGAAGAUA
This 69-nucleotide transfer RNA is filed under the name Hypogeophis brevis (Mahe caecilian). RNAcentral describes it as "Grandisonia brevis (Mahe caecilian) tRNA-Gly". Lineage: Eukaryota; Metazoa; Chordata; Amphibia; Gymnophiona; Indotyphlidae. The record is from RNAcentral.